CCGGGGCUGGCACGUUACCAGGGAAUUGUGCGCGUGCACACAGACUUGGUGAAACUUCAAUCAAAACCACAUGGACGCUAAACUUAAAAUGUUUUGUCUCAUGUGAGGAUCAAGCAAAAAACAAGAAGAGACAAAGGAAGAGACAUCACGUGGAGGCUUGGUUCAAGUAGCAGGACAUAUACUGUUCGAGAACAUGGAGCGGCGCCAGAAUCAUUUUGUGCUGGUAUUCGCUCGUAUCGCGUUGCUCAUUAGACGCGCCUGAACGGCUGCCCCCGCGGUCCGAUCUACAUCAUCAUAUUGGUAUCGCAUCCGCUCGUUCAAGCCGCCCGACGGACGCACGCGAACCGCCGUCCAUGUGGCCUAGAUUAUAUUAAAUGUCAAAAAAAAUUUGACACUCA
This 398-nucleotide long non-coding RNA is filed under the name Hordeum vulgare. Its description in RNAcentral is "long non-coding RNA (HVUL_LNC016072)". The record is from RNAcentral. Lineage: Eukaryota; Viridiplantae; Streptophyta; Magnoliopsida; Poales; Poaceae.